RNAcentral lists this microRNA precursor (206 nucleotides) under Oryza rufipogon (brownbeard rice). Its description in RNAcentral is "MIR812 microRNA precursor family". It matches the Rfam family "MIR812 microRNA precursor family". Lineage: Eukaryota; Viridiplantae; Streptophyta; Magnoliopsida; Poales; Poaceae. The record is from Rfam by way of RNAcentral.
AAUGUAUGACGCCGUUGACUUUUUGAUAAACGUUUGACCUUUCGUCUUAUUCAAAAAAUUUAUGUAAUUAUCAUUUAUUUUAUUGUGACUUGAUUUAUCAUCAAAUGUUCUUUAAGUAUGACAUAAGUAUUUUUAUAUUUGUAUAAAAAAUUUGAAUAAGACGAAUGGUCAAACGUUGUGGUUAAAAAGUCAACGACGUCAUUAAU